This 362-nucleotide unclassified non-coding RNA is filed under the name soil metagenome. RNAcentral describes it as "partial contains internal transcribed spacer 2 and large subunit ribosomal RNA". The stretch from base 2 to 116 matches the Rfam family "5.8S ribosomal RNA", at positions 35 to 154 of the family's 154-position model. The record is from RNAcentral.
GGAUGAAGAACGUAGCGAAAUGCGAUACUUGGUGUGAAUUGCAGAAUCCCGUGAACCAUCGAGUUUUUGAACGUAAGUUGCGCCCGAAGCCGUUAGGCCCAAUCGCCUCACUUUGUAGGUAUUUGCUUGGGGUGAAUGUUGGCCUCCCGUGAGCUUUGUCUCACGGUUGGUUGAAAAUCGAGUGCAUGGUGUCGGGUGUACCAUGAUGGAUGGUGGUUGAGUGAUGAUGCUCGGGACCAAUCAUGGGUAACUCCACCAGAAUUGGGCUCGGUGACCCACAUGCGUCCCUUGGAUGCUCCCUAAGGAGACCUCAGGUCAGGCGGGGCUACCCGCUGAGUUUAAGCAUAUCAAUAAGCGGAGGA